CGGCUAANUACGUGCCAGCAGCCGCGGUAAUACGUAGGUCCCGAGCGUUNUCCGGAUUUAUUGGGCGUAAAGCGAGCGCAGGCGGUUAGAUAAGUCUGAAGUUAAAGGCUGUGGCUUAACCAUAGUACGCUUUGGAAACUGUUUAACUUGAGUGCAGAAGGGGAGAGUGGAAUUCCAUGUGCAGCGGUGAAAUGCGUAGAUAUAUGGAGGAACACCGGUGGCGAAAGCGGCUCUCUGGUCUGUAACUGACGCUGAGGCUCGAAAGCGUGGGGAGCGAACAGGAUUAGAUACCCUGGUAGUCCACGCCGUAAACGAUGAGUGCUAGGUGUUAGGCCCUUUCCGGGGCUUAGUGCCGCAGCUAACGCAUUAAGCACUCCGCCUGGGGAGUACGACCGCAAGGUUGAAACUCAAAGGAAUUGACGGGGGCCCGCACAAGCGGUGGAGCAUGUGGUUUAAUUCGAAGCAACGCGAAGAACCUUACCAGGUCUUGACAUCCCGAUGCCCGCUCUAGAGAUAGAGUUUUACUUCGGUACAUCGGUGACAGGUGGUGCAUGGUUGUCGUCAGCUCGUGUCGUGAGAUGUUGGGUUAAGUCCCGCAACGAGCGCAACCCUUGUUGUUAGUUGCCAUCAUUCAGUUGGGCACUCUAGCGAGACUGCCGGUAAUAAACCGGAGGAAGGUGGGGAUGACGUCAAAUCAUCAUGCCCCUUAUGACCUGGGCUACACACGUGCUACAAUGGCUGGUACAACGAGUCGCAAGUCGGUGACGGCAAGCUAAUCUCUUAAAGCCAGUCUCAGUUCGGAUUGUAGGCUGCAACUCGCCUACAUGAAGUCGGAAUCGCUAGUAAUCGCGGAUCAGCACGCCGCGGUGAAUACGUUCCCGGGCCUUGUACACACCGCCCGUCACACCACGAGAGUUUGUAACACCCGAAGUCGGUGAGGUAACCUUUUAGGANCCA
RNAcentral lists this ribosomal RNA (957 nucleotides) under uncultured bacterium. RNAcentral's name for it is "bacterial SSU rRNA". It matches the Rfam family "Bacterial small subunit ribosomal RNA", at positions 494 to 1451 of the family's 1533-position model. The record is from RNAcentral.